RNAcentral lists this long non-coding RNA (3837 nucleotides) under Diabrotica virgifera virgifera (western corn rootworm). RNAcentral's name for it is "uncharacterized LOC126892375". The record is from RNAcentral. Lineage: Eukaryota; Metazoa; Arthropoda; Insecta; Coleoptera; Chrysomelidae.
GUUAACUUAAAAUUACUGUCAGAAGAGUAUGCAAAGACUUUAUGGACAGUGAACAAUUUUUGUUCACUCCAAAAAAUCAAAAGCAUUUUGCACACAAGCUUACUGUGAUGAUAAACAGAGGAAAUUGUUGGGAACAGGCACAUUUUGGAACCACAUGUAAAGGUCAUGCUGUCACCAUUCAUUAUUAUUAAUAGUGCAACAUAAAGUAGACGCCUGAAUACAGUAAUGUUAUCCCAAGAAAUAAUCGCAGUCAUCAGUAGGAACAGAUAGACUGUAGUAUUCUACUAUUCACUCUAGCUUCAGCUCAAUAACAACUCAUGAGAGCUCAUAAGACAUGACACAAAAGUAUUAAAAUAACCAAAAAAAUGGUACUUUAUUUUGAUGAACCUAAAAUGUAGUUCUGUUCGUGAUGGAGAUAUAAAGGUGAAUAUAUCAAUGUUGUUGUUCGAUUUAAAUAGAAGUCAGCUGCAAACAAAAUCAGAAUCAAAUUUGGAACCAUUUGGGUGACUCGUUUUUAGUUUAGUGAGAAUAUUUUUACAGUGGUGCCCUCUAUCCGUUUUAUUUACAAAUUCACAUAAAAAUACAUUUCAGAAUGUUCUUUAUUUAAUGCUAAACGAAAUAACGUAUAUAUUUGUACUGUUUCAGUGACAAUUGUGGAUGGUACAGAAUUUUGUUAAUUUAAACUAAAUCAGAAAUUAACAACCUAAUCAUCAGAGAGCAUGCGCUAAUUUACAACUAUCACUCUCUGUCCAAGUCACCAGUAUGUUGGGCCAAAUUUUUGCGAUUAACAGUUCAAAUACAACAUCUUUAUUACAAAAAUUAAUAUAUUUUUUUUAUUUAAAUAAUUUUAUAUUUUUUUACAUUUCCAUUAAUAAAAUAACUAAAUUUCUUUAUGUAACUUCUUAAAAUGUGUAUUUUUAAAAUUAAUUUUUAACUUACAUGCUAAUAAACGCAUUUUUUAAUACAUUUUCAUUUUCAUUUUUUUUGUGUAAACAUCAAAAUAACUAAAAUAAGCAAUUGAAUGAGCAUAUAGGGCACAUAAAAUUUUACAUAACUGUACCUAAUUUAAGUUUUUACACAAGUGAAUAACUGUUCAUUAUCCACAACAUUUAAUCUUAAUAUUAAAAUAGAUAUAACUCAUCUACAAAAUUCGAUGGUAAACUUUUACCAUCUAGAUUUAUCUAUUAGUCAAUGAUUUUAUCUUAUCAUUUUUUAAGGUCUUUAUUUUUUAUUGAAUUGGUUUUCAUUGCUUCCGGAUAUUAUAGAUUUCUAGUGAGGUGGACUAGCUCAAACAGUUUCUGUGUCCAGUGCAGAAUGCUUCAUUUUAAUAUUUUUUGGCCCCACUAGAUGUACAUAGUUACUUGAAGGUACCUUUACUGUAUCCCUGAAACUUGGGUUUAUUGAUUUUAUUUGCUGAUCUUGAAUUGUUUUAAAGAUUUGCCCGACUAUUUUAAGGAAACAAAUUUUGAAAAUAUGAGGAUUUUGAAUCAUUAAUAAAGUUGCUAUCUCCAAUGUAACCGCUUCUUUACUUUUGGCAAUGAAGCACUUCCAAAAAUAACUUUUCAAUUGCAUAUCACGAUCAGUGCUGAAUCUUGGCUAAAGUCAGUAGGGAUUACAAAGAGGACUGAACUAUAGUCCAUACAUUUGAUAUUCAAUAUUUAGUAUACAACAAUGUUUCACACAGUUUCAUUGUUCAUUAUCAAGAAACGCUACAAGUAUAGGUUGUAAGUCUUUCAAAAGCAUAUUGUAGAUAACAACUGCAGUGUGGUGAAAGAAAGUGGAAAGAAAUUGGAAUAAACGAAGCUAGAUAGUUUUCAUGGGACAAUAUUUCGAAAAGAAAUAGUUUCAUAGGUUUUGGAAAUAUGUAUACAAAACCCUUGUACUGCCAAUGCUGGCAUAUGGAUUAGAAACAUGAAACAUGUGACCAUCUCCAAGACUGAUGAAAACAUCUUGCUCUAAUGCCGAAAUGGGCAGAACAUCUAGCAAUAUCGCAGCAGAACAAACCUUCCAGACGAAUUCUGAUGUGACAGCGGUGAGAUGUAGACGAAUAGGUAGGUCAAGGUACCAAGGUAUUCACCAUGGAAGAAGGUGUAGAAGAAGAUGCUAGAAGAUGCAACAAAUUGGCAAGGGUUGACAAUGGAAAGGACUGACUGGCGAAAUAAACUUCCAGAAAGAAAGGUCCAGGCUCUAUUAUAGGGCUGUAGCACCAUCAAUGAUGAUAAGGUUUCAGAAAACUUAUCAGGUACUACUCAAUUUAAAACUCUUUAAUGAUGUUCGAAACCAUUGGUCAAUCCAACUAAUAGUUUGGACUUUACCAAGUAGAUAACUAGUAACUCAAAGGCAAAGUUGUGGCCACAACAUUGGCUUAUUAAAUGUUUUAAAUAUUUGUAGAGUUCUAAUGAUUAUUACAAACUAUUUUCUAUAUUAAUCAAUGAUAAUACAAAAUUAAUUAACACAACUAAAAAAUAUAAAGUUAUGAGUAUAUUUCUUUUUCUUUUAUUACGGGAUAUGUCAUGUCUUAUAAAUAUGCGAAUUUAACCUUAACCAUAAAGUAAUACAGAUGUUUAUUUUGUUUUGGCAAUAGUGCUAUGGAUUUUGGACAAAUACACUAUUGGAAUGAAUACUUGGCCAACAUAGUGGUGUUAUUUUGGUAUAUGAUCACACAUAAUGUAUUGUCAGUAACUAUAAUUGAUCACCAACGUCCGACUCAUAUGCUUAAUCAUGUAAUGAGAACGACAAACUGAAAAAAUAAGGAAAACACUUGGCUGAAUUAAUAAAAUAACUCUGUUUUGCAAGAAAAAUUAUUUGAUAUACUUUUUGUCGAAUACAAAAACUAAACCUAUGUAUAUUUUAAACAGCAAGCAAUUUUCUAUUAUUUCCAGUCUGAUUUGACUGUAGCUUUAUGGUCGAUUGGGACGUUCGUGAUUAUCAUGAUUCCCUAUUACAUAAGUAAAAAUAAUUGCCUGUGGGAAGAAAUCAACAAAAAUAAAUUAUUCUUUAAAAAAAUCGUCUCACUAAAAUAAUUAUUAAUAAAAUAUAUCUGUAUCUACAGGAAUUUUUAAUCACACUACUCAGGCGCCCAACUGGCCAAUAUUAAUAAAUUAAUAACUAAAACCAACCAACAAAUGGCAAGAUUUUCUGGAAGGGGAUCCCAGAAGUACAUGGACCGACAUGAAACCAUAAGUUUAAAUUUAACCAAUAGCAAACUGUGUCACCUUUUGUUGGUUGGUUCUCUCAACCGUCCAUACCAAGAGCCUAUCAGGUAGUCUGAUUAAUCGUUAAGAAUAUUGUAAAUUAAACUGAAAGACGUAAAAACAUUGUAACCGAAACAUCCAGUCUCAACGAAUUUAUUAAACAAACAUCUCAAAUCGUUUUGAACACAACACGGUGCUUUGGUAAUCGUUUUGUUAUCACUCGUGCUAUUUUUUUACUUUGAGAAUUUUAAUACUAAGAAUUUCACUCCAGACCUUCGACGAGAAACAUAUAUACAAUUAAAAGGGAUUUUUUAAUCAAUAUUCCCCUUAUUCAUAAACGGAUAUAUAAUGAAAAUCCAGAAUGAAGUUAUCUGACCGUUAAUACAAUAUAUCUACAGUAUAACUUGUAGAAAGUACCACUGUUCUGAAAUGUAUACAUAAAUUUUGUAUUUUUGAACAAAAAUUUACCAGUUGCUCAAAAUUGCUUAAAAAUAUCAUUGGAAGUACAGUUUCUACAAGUUGCUGUAAAAAUUUCACUGUCAUACUAAGAACACUAUAAUAUAUUUUCGUACAACAAGGAUGCAUCUAGCUAUCGCUUGUUGUUUAACAGUCAUUUGAAGCAUUGUGUUCGUAGUAUGUCAGA